RNAcentral lists this long non-coding RNA (778 nucleotides) under Gossypium barbadense (sea-island cotton). RNAcentral describes it as "long non-coding RNA (GBAR_LNC003726)". Lineage: Eukaryota; Viridiplantae; Streptophyta; Magnoliopsida; Malvales; Malvaceae. The record is from RNAcentral.
UCAACAAAGUUUAUUCCGUAUAUAAUUAGGUUUAAAAGUUUGUGUUUUAUAUAAGCAAUAGAUAAAAGAUAUUGAUUCUAAUUUAGCCCGUACAUAUAUAUAUAUAUCUAUAUCUAUAUAUAUCUUCUAUUUCAUUCUCCACUCUUACAACUAACACGUAUUCAUAACAACAAGCUAUACAUGAAGAGGAUAAAACUAUACGUAGGGGCGAAAGGGGUGCCCUUGACCCUUGAAAAAAAAAUUCUUUAAAUAAUUUUUUUAGUUUUGAAGAAGUCAGAAGCUAAUAUAAUAUUAAAAUUACACUUUGGUUUACAAUAUUCCUUUUGGCCCUAAACUAAUUUCUUGAUUUUGUCCUUGACUAUAUGUACCCUAAUAAACCAAAAAUCUACCUUCAACUAAUAAUUGAUAUUUUUAUUAAAUAAAAUAUAACAAUCCUUCCACAUGGUUCCGUCGAAACAUAUCCCAACAGUAGAGAACCUUUUGGGAAAAACUGGAAAUACAGUGGUAGAGAAACCAAUUAGAAACAAUGGCCAAAAACUGGGCAAGUAAAUGAUGGGACAGAUUAAAAAGCAAAAUGAAGAAGGGUGAAGGUUUGAAGUUACAGAGAAUGGUGGUAAAAUGGAAAUGAGUUUGUGAUAAGAGGGAGGAUUGUUGAUCAGCUUCCACCGCAUCUCACUUAUUUGUUGGGCAUGGGAAGUAAAAUCGCAGACUCCGACUUCACUAUAUACAGAACUUCUGCGAUAAGUAGGUAAGUCAUGUAUAUAUGGCACAAGUUUGU